AUGUCGGACUGGGGGCCGGUGGUGAUCGCGGUGGUGCUGUUCGUGCUGCUGUCGCCGGGGCUGCUGCUGCAGCUCCCCGGGAAGCACCACUUCGUGGAGUUCGGCAACAUGCACACCAGCGCCAUGGCCAUCCUCGUCCACGCCAUCAUCUACUUCGCCCUCAUCGCGCUCUUCGUCAUCGUCAUCGGCGUGCACAUCACCACUGACUAG
Molecule: ribosomal RNA, 210 nt
Filed under: Triticum aestivum (bread wheat)
Lineage: Eukaryota; Viridiplantae; Streptophyta; Magnoliopsida; Poales; Poaceae
Description: partial small subunit ribosomal RNA
Source: RNAcentral